This 478-nucleotide ribosomal RNA is filed under the name Gemelliphila palaticanis. RNAcentral describes it as "bacterial SSU rRNA". It matches the Rfam family "Bacterial small subunit ribosomal RNA", at positions 9 to 476 of the family's 1533-position model. Lineage: Bacteria; Bacillati; Bacillota; Bacilli; Caryophanales; Gemellaceae. The record is from RNAcentral.
GAGUUUGAUUAUGGCUCAGGACGAACGCUGGCGGCGUGCCUAAUACAUGCAAGUCGAGCGGAGUUGAAUAAGUGCUUGCACUAAUUCAACUUAGCGGCGAACGGGUGAGUAACACGUAAAGAACCUGCCUCAUAGACUGGGACAACUACUGGAAACGGUAGCUAAUACCGGAUAACAUAUUUUUCUGCAUGGAAGAAUAUUGAAAGUCGGUCAUGCUGACACUAUGAGAUGGCUUUGCGGUGCAUUAGCUAGUUGGUAGGGUAAAGGCCUACCAAGGCGACGAUGCAUAGCCGACCUGAGAGGGUGAUCGGCCACACUGGGACUGAGACACGGCCCAGACUCCUACGGGAGGCAGCAGUAGGGAAUCUUCCGCAAUGGACGAAAGUCUGACGGAGCAACGCCGCGUGAGUGAAGAAGGAUUUCGGUUCGUAAAACUCUGUUGUUAGGGAAGAAUGAUUGUAUAGUAACUAUAUACAGU